This 551-nucleotide unclassified non-coding RNA is filed under the name Sumatroscirpus rupestris. RNAcentral's name for it is "partial external transcribed spacer 1F". Lineage: Eukaryota; Viridiplantae; Streptophyta; Magnoliopsida; Poales; Cyperaceae. The record is from RNAcentral.
UUCUAGACUUGCUCUGCAUGGCGGGCUCCCCGCACUUUGGUGCGGCCAACCGACAUGGGGCUGUCUCUUCACUCUCCCUCCCGACAGAACAUUUGCUGGGUUGGGAUGCUCGUUAUUGGUUGCCUGUGUGGUUCUACCCUUUCGUGGGUAGCGAAGUCGUCCCUUGAUGGAUAUUUGCUUGCCCGGCUGACAUUGUUUUGUCGCUGGGGCAGCCGAAAUGUUGGCGAAAUCCUUGUGUUGUUGCGUGGUGUUCCGCCGUGUCACCAUCACUUGGAUUUUUGCCGGCUCUCAUGGAUGCUGUGCCUACGGUUAGCUCUGUGGGCCUCUGUCCCACAGACUUCGGGAGGUCCCUUGUAUGGAUCAUUGGUCUUGCGCUGGAUUGUCGUGCUGUCAACGGCGACAUGUUCAAUCUGUGCGUGAGGUUGGUGCACCCGUGCAUGCGGAAUGCCUCUCCGAUUGUAUGAGCAGCGAUUGCCCGUUUGCGUCAUGAAAAGGGCCUCCCGUUUGGGUUGGUGCUGGACAUGGCGUGCCGGCUCUCGUUUAAGACGUGC